CACCAACAGUGACAGUGGCCAAGAACCCCUAAAGCUUCACAGGAGAGAAUCCGUGUAGGCCUGGCUCCCAACACCAGAAGGACAGAAAGAUGGCUGAGCUUGCUGCAUAACAACCACGAGGGGAACUUGUCAGAAAUACAGAUCCCAGGUUCCAGGUCCCAGGUCCCAGUGAGUCUCACUCAGUAAGUCUUUGCUCCUGCCUAGGAAUCUGUGGUUCAAGCAAGCAUCCCAGGUAGAAGACUGCCGUCUGCAAGCCAGGAACCAAAUCAGCCAGGAACUUGACCUUGGUUCCCCAGCCUCUGGAACUGUGAGACAUGAAUUUCUAAGGUUUAAACCACUCAGUCUUUGGCACUUAGUGACAACAGUCUGAGCAGUUUAAGACAAAGACACAUGCAGCCCCACAGGGAAUGUUACACCUAGGUGGCAGCAUAUCUGCCUACUUUCUAAUGUUCCCAGGAGAGUCCAGAAUUUGACCUGUCACUUUACAACUCCUCUUCCUUUGUGGUGGAAGGAGGGAAAGGAAAAGUGGAGAGUGAGAAGCAAGGUUGCAGUUCUUUCCCCAGCAAAACUCUCUCAACAGAAAGAAGGAAAUAGGGGGCUGGGCGCGGUGGCUCACGCCUGUAAUCUCAGCACUUUGGGAGACCAAGGUGGGAAGAUCACAAGGUCAGGAGAUGGAGACCAUCCUGGCUAACACGGUGAAACCCUGUCUCUACUAAAAAUACAAAAAAUUAGCCAGGCAUGGUGGCGGGCACCUGUAGUCCCAG
This 764-nucleotide long non-coding RNA is filed under the name Homo sapiens (human). Its description in RNAcentral is "HSALNT0389419". Lineage: Eukaryota; Metazoa; Chordata; Mammalia; Primates; Hominidae. The record is from RNAcentral.